CACGGCCCGCAGGGGAUGGGGAGGACAGGCGAUGGAGACGGGGAUCAGCUGGGAGGGUGACCUGGUGAGAGAUUUUCCAGCUGGCAGAAAUGUCCUCUACCUUGAGGGAGGCGUGUGACAUGGGAGUCUUCUGCUUCCUGGAGCUUGGCCUGCCUCGGGAGGAGGAGAAAAUGGUCCAUGUCCCCAGAGAGCCCAUGAUGUGCCGGCCUAGGUGAGCACUCUUCGCACCUCGUGCCAUGGAACUUUUGCCACAGCCCUACCCAUUUUACGGAUGAGGAAAGGAGGCUCGGGAGAUGAAGCUGGCAGACUUCCUCUGGAACUUCCUCUGGACAUCUGGAGGGACGUCCUGUCAGCAGAGCAGGCUGGACUGCUUCACAAAGAGGAUGCAGCCCCGCCUCCCAGCAGGAGUCAGUUCUGCUCCGAGACGGGAGGCUCACAAUCAGAUGAAGACUCCUGCUGCUGCAUCUUGAAGAUAAUGAUGCUGUUGCUCCCGGCCGGAACCACAGCAGUGGCAAUGAGUGAACAGCCAGCAGAGUGGAGCGGCCACACUGAUACAGGUGAGGCUCCAGCACUGCCACAGCCCAGGGCCAGGCAAAACCGCCUUCCUAUCCCCCGGGAGCCGAGGCCUCUGAGAUCGGCGCUGGGAGGUCGCACAGUGCAGGCAAAUCACACGGACCUCAGAGCAGGGUCCCUGGCCGUAAGAACUCAAAAGACACAGUCUUUAAAAUAAGGACAGAAAACUGUAUUUAGUGCCACAAUAAAGCUGUGUAACAAACUACCC
This is a long non-coding RNA of Gorilla gorilla gorilla (western lowland gorilla), 781 nucleotides long. RefSeq lists it as uncharacterized. NCBI's taxonomy places the organism in Eukaryota, Metazoa, Chordata, Mammalia, Primates, Hominidae. The record is from RefSeq and is a predicted model, not a curated record. The transcript has 3 exons.